CCUACGGGAGGCAGCAGUGGGGAAUAUUGGACAAUGGGCGAAAGCCUGAUCCAGCCAUGCCGCGUGUGUGAAGAAGGCCUUCGGGUUGUAAAGCACUUUCAGUGGGGAAGAAAGCCUUGGGGCUAAUACCCUCGAGGAAGGACAUCACCCACAGAAGAAGCACCGGCUAACUCCGUGCCAGCAGCCGCGGUAAUACGGAGGGUGCGAGCGUUAAUCGGAAUUACUGGGCGUAAAGCGCGCGUAGGCGGUCUGAUAAGCCGGUGUGAAAGCCCCGGGCUCAACCUGGGAACGGCAUCCGGAAAUGUCAGGCUAGAGUGCAGGAGAGGAAGGUAGAAUCCCCGGUGUAGCGGUGAAAUGCGUAGAGAUCGGGAGGAAUGCCAGUGGCGAAGGCGGCCUUCUGGACUGACACUGACGCUGAGGUGCGAAAGCGUGGGUAGCAAACAGGAGUAGAUACCCCAGUAGUC
This 464-nucleotide ribosomal RNA is filed under the name Vreelandella stevensii. RNAcentral describes it as "partial 16S ribosomal RNA". It matches the Rfam family "Bacterial small subunit ribosomal RNA", at positions 338 to 795 of the family's 1533-position model. The record is from RNAcentral. Lineage: Bacteria; Pseudomonadati; Pseudomonadota; Gammaproteobacteria; Oceanospirillales; Halomonadaceae.